CGCGGGGUGGAGCAGUGGUAGCUCGUCGGGCUCAUAACCCGAAGGUCACAGGUUCAAGUCCUGUCCCCGCAACCA
RNAcentral lists this transfer RNA (75 nucleotides) under Caryophanon tenue. RNAcentral's name for it is "tRNA-Met". It matches the Rfam family "tRNA". From Rfam's summary of the family: Transfer RNA (tRNA) molecules are approximately 80 nucleotides in length. Their secondary structure includes four short double-helical elements and three loops (D, anti-codon, and T loops). Further hydrogen bonds mediate the characteristic L-shaped molecular structure. tRNAs have two regions of fundamental functional importance: the anti-codon, which is responsible for specific mRNA codon recognition, and the 3' end, to which the tRNAs corresponding amino acid is attached (by aminoacyl-tRNA synthetases). tRNAs cope with the degeneracy of the genetic code in two manners: having more than one tRNA (with a specific anti-codon) for a particular amino acid; and 'wobble' base-pairing, i.e. permitting non-standard base-pairing at the 3rd anti-codon position. RNAcentral also lists the same sequence under 13 other names. The record is from RNAcentral. Lineage: Bacteria; Bacillati; Bacillota; Bacilli; Caryophanales; Caryophanaceae.